Molecule: long non-coding RNA, 121 nt
Organism: Xenopus laevis (African clawed frog)
Lineage: Eukaryota; Metazoa; Chordata; Amphibia; Anura; Pipidae
Exons: 2
Source: RefSeq, a predicted model, not a curated record
UUAACCGUUUGGAGUUUUUGGCACUUUGCAAAGGUAGUUGUUUGAAUGUUGCAAGGUAGAUGCUUGAAUUCUAAAUUGACUUCUUUUUUAUAUUGAUUUGACUAUGCUUUUAGUGGGAGUU